AACGAACGCUGGCGGCGUGCCUAACACAUGCAAGUCGAGCGAGAAAGCUCCUUCGGGAGUGAGUAAAGCGGCGCACGGGUGAGUAACACGUAGGUAACCUACCCUCGAGCCUGGGAUAACCUACCGAAAGGUGGGCUAAUACCGGAUAUGACCACGGGAGCCACGGCUCCUGCGGUGAAAGAUGGCCUAAGCUUGCAAGCUAUCACUUGAGGAUGGGCCUGCGCACCAUUAGCUAGUUGGCGGGGUAAUGGCCCACCAAGGCUAUGAUGGUUAGCUGGUCUGAGAGGAUGGCCAGCCACACUGGGACUGAAACACGGCCCAGACUCCUACGGGAGGCAGCAGUGGGGGAUAUUGCGCAAUGGGCGAAAGCCUGACGCAGCGACGCCGCGUGGGUGAUGAAGGCC
Molecule: ribosomal RNA, 404 nt
Filed under: uncultured bacterium
Lineage: Bacteria
Description: bacterial SSU rRNA
Rfam family: Bacterial small subunit ribosomal RNA
Source: RNAcentral